Long non-coding RNA from Megalops cyprinoides (Indo-Pacific tarpon), 671 nucleotides. RefSeq lists it as uncharacterized. Lineage: Eukaryota; Metazoa; Chordata; Actinopteri; Elopiformes; Megalopidae. The record is from RefSeq and is a predicted model, not a curated record. The transcript has 5 exons.
UAUGGUCCAGGAAAGUGUGUUCAUCGCUGACUACGGUUUCAUUUUAAGAGAGAUAUGGGAUUUCUUUGUCAGGAGUCUGACAAACCACAUCUUUACGUCUUAAGAGGCCUACCUGGGUCAAGAAGGACAGUCUUCGCUAAGAAAAUCUUCAACUGUUACGGUGGCUCUGGAGUAAUACUCACCAGUUUCGACUACUUCAGACAGGAGGACGGAGUGGUUAAAUUCGAACGAAGGUUGUUGAAUGUCGCUCAUUCAGAAAAUAGAAAAAAAGCAAAACAAGCUAUGGCAAACGGAGAAAACCCUGUCAUCAUCAACAAUACCAACAUCCGUCGCAGCGAAAUGAAACCUUACGUUGAAAUGGGUAAAGAGCACGGUUACGCCAUUGAAAUUAAAUGCACACGCGAUACUUGGAGAGUGCCGGUUAAGGAAUUACACAAACGUGUUAAAGACAAGGUGCCACUGAGGGUGAUAAAAAAUAUGAAGAGGAAUUUUGAGUAUGCUCGCAAUGCAGAUGAUGUCCUGACUGAUAACACAGACUGGACAAGAAAGUAAAUUGCUACCUUCAAUUUUAACUUUAUUGGCACUGUAUGCUUAGAUUUAUGAUGUGAUUUUUUUGUGUGUCGACCUGCCUGUUUUUUUUUUUCACUUUAUUGUUCCCAGUAUUUAGCAUG